CAGUCGCCGCGGUAAUACGUAGGUGGCAAGCGUUGUCCGGAAUUAUUGGGCGUAAAGGGUGCGUAGGCGGUUCAGCAAGUCUCGUGUGAAAUCUUCGGGCUCAUCCCGAAGUCUGCACGGGAAACUACUGGGCUUGAGUAUUGGAGAGGUGAGUGGAAUUUCCGGUGUAGCGGUGAAAUGCGUAGAUAUCGGAAGGAACACCUGUGGCGGAAGCGGCUCACUGGACAAUAACUGACGCUGAGGAGCGAAAGCGUGGGGAGCGAACAGGAUUAGAUACCCGCGUAGUCCCUGUCUCUUAUAC
Molecule: ribosomal RNA, 301 nt
Filed under: uncultured bacterium
Lineage: Bacteria
Description: partial 16S ribosomal RNA
Rfam family: Bacterial small subunit ribosomal RNA
Source: RNAcentral